AUGUAUGCAGGUCAGCAUCAAGGCUAUGAAGCGAAAGAUCAGACAAAGGUUUUCGCCAUGUUUGUCCUUCAGCUUAGUAACUUGCAUGUUGAUAUGGCACUUGUGAAAACUGAAGAUUUGGUACGGAGUCGUAAAACGUGUAAUAUUCUCGGUAAUGCAGAAAAACAAAGAUUGCAUUGCCCUCAACCUUUGUAUGUGACAUAUCGUGCCUAUAUCACUACUUGCAUCAUGUCAAUGCAUUCUGUGUUAACAAUUCAUUUUGUUAUUUUCUUUGUAGAUUCAAAAGAUAUAUGGCUGAUUAUAUGGUUGCGUGGCAAGAAUACUGCAAUGAUGAUGAUGGUGUUCUACUGUUCUGGUUCAUGA
Molecule: ribosomal RNA, 363 nt
Filed under: Triticum aestivum (bread wheat)
Lineage: Eukaryota; Viridiplantae; Streptophyta; Magnoliopsida; Poales; Poaceae
Description: partial small subunit ribosomal RNA
Source: RNAcentral